This 274-nucleotide ribosomal RNA is filed under the name uncultured bacterium. RNAcentral describes it as "partial 16S ribosomal RNA". It matches the Rfam family "Bacterial small subunit ribosomal RNA", at positions 523 to 796 of the family's 1533-position model. The record is from RNAcentral.
AUACGGAGGGUGCAAGCGUUGUUCGGAAUCACUGGGCGUAAAGGGCGCGCAGGCGGUUUGGUAAGUCAGAUGUGAAAGCCCACGGCUCAACCGUGGAAGUGCAUUUGAAACUGCCAGACUUGAGUACCAGAGGGGAAAGUGGAAUUCCCGGUGUAGAGGUGAAAUUCGUAGAUCUCGGGAGGAAUACCGGUGGCGAAGGCGACUUUCUGGCUGGAUACUGACGCUGAGGCGCGAAAGCGUGGGGAGCAAACAGAAUUAGAAACCCUAGUAGUCC